Molecule: non-coding RNA, 92 nt
Filed under: uncultured Lachnoclostridium sp.
Lineage: Bacteria; Bacillati; Bacillota; Clostridia; Lachnospirales; Lachnospiraceae
Source: RNAcentral
UUGCAUAGGGGGAGCUUGUAGACAGGCUGAGAGGAAGUUGGGAACUUCGACCCGGGAACCUGAUUUGGAUAAUGCCAACGUAGGGAAAUAGA